GACAGGCUCUGUGUUCACAGGGGUGGCCGGGCAGCACCUGAGGGGGAACAUGGAAGAGCUGCUGAUGAUCUACAGUGCCCUUGAAGACAGGGCAAAUGACGUCAGCCUUGCCGUUGGAAGCCUGGCAAUUCAAUCAUUGUGCAUCCUCAGGUCUGCAGAGCGGGCUCCAAUCUCCAGGUUCCAGAGGCUGCAAUAUCAGCUGCGCAGGAUGUGGAAGGCUCGGCCGCGUCUGUCGCAUCUCCACAGGCUGAGCUGCUGGAGCUCUGUGGAGAUGUGAUUCCAUAUGUUCUUUUAGUUGGGGCCACCGGACUAAUUAGGAAUUUUGUUUUUUUUCAAGAAUGUUCUACUUUUAGUUUUCUUUUACUGUGUUAAUAUAGAAUGUGUUAUAACA
Molecule: long non-coding RNA, 391 nt
Organism: Passer domesticus (house sparrow)
Lineage: Eukaryota; Metazoa; Chordata; Aves; Passeriformes; Passeridae
Exons: 2
Source: RefSeq, a predicted model, not a curated record